GUGAAGCAGGUCCUCCUGGCCCACCUGGAAUUGUUAUAGGCACAGGACCUUUGGGAGAAAAAGGAGAGAGGGGCUACCCUGGAACUCCGGGGCCAAGAGGAGAGCCAGGCCCAAAAGGUUUCCCAGGACUACCAGGCCAACCCGGACCUCCAGGCCUCCCUGUACCUGGGCAGGCUGGUGCCCCUGGCUUCCCUGGUGAAAGAGGAG
This 207-nucleotide unclassified non-coding RNA is filed under the name Hevea brasiliensis (rubber tree). The record is from RNAcentral. Lineage: Eukaryota; Viridiplantae; Streptophyta; Magnoliopsida; Malpighiales; Euphorbiaceae.